This 470-nucleotide ribosomal RNA is filed under the name uncultured bacterium. RNAcentral describes it as "partial 16S ribosomal RNA". It matches the Rfam family "Bacterial small subunit ribosomal RNA", at positions 28 to 507 of the family's 1533-position model. The record is from RNAcentral.
GACGAACGCUGGCGGCGUGCUUAACACAUGCAAGCCGAACGGUGAACGAGGGAGCUUGCUCCCUCCGGAUCAGUGGCGAACGGGUGAGUAACACGUGAGCAAUCUGCCUCGAACUCUGGGAUAAGCGUUGGAAACGACGUCUAAUACCGGAUACGACGCUGGAGGGCAUCCUUUCCGCGUGGAAAGAACUUCGGUUCGAGAUGAGCUCGCGGCCUAUCAGCUUGUUGGUGAGGUAACGGCUCACGAAGGCGCAGACGGGUAGCCGGCCUGAGAGGGUGACCGGCCACACUGGGACUGAGACACGGCCCAGACUCCUACGGGAGGCAGCAGUGGGGAAUAUUGCACAAUGGGCGCAAGCCUGAUGCAGCAACGCCGCGUGAGGGACGACGGCCUUCGGGUUGUAAACCUCUUUUAGCAGGGAAGAAGCGAAAGUGACGGUACCUGCAGAAAAAGCACCGGCUAACUACGUG